GCGGGAAGGAAACUCAAGGGUCGCCUGAACCAAUUUAGCCAGCCCAUAAUCCCGAAUUCAGGAAUGUGUCACGUCACUUGAGAUCAGAACGAAAUUAAGUUUUGAUCCCUUUGAGAUCUCUUAGCGCACAAAGUCAGGCUAUCACUACAAGGGGAGUCCGACCCUGGCUGUAGAAAAACUACUUGGUGCGGAACUCGAGUCUCUUCCGCCCACCGUGGGGGACCGCAUCGGUCAGGUCCAGCGAGGAGCCCCGCCGUGAGUUUGGGGGCGCAGCCGGGCCCGGCGGGGGCGGCGAGCGCGCGUCCCCCCGCCCGCUCAGGCAGCGUCGAGGCGCGAGCAGCUCAGCCAGCCUUGCAGAGGGAGCUCUCGGCAGCUCUGGGGUCCCUCUGCUCGCAGCCGCAGCAGCGCCGCCUGCGCCACUCGGCGGAGACGGAGACCAGCGGCGGCGGCGCACAGACUGGGAGCGACCGCUGAGCAGCCGACCGGCAGGGGUAUGCUCGCAAAGCGGCCGGGAAGCACCUGCGGAUUCUACCCAACCAGCGGUGAAGUUCACCGACCACAGACUGGAAGACGUUCUGGUGACCCAGAGAGGAGAGCCUUUGGUACUUAGGGGAAUCUGACUCGGGACUGUAUUGUGAACUCCCGUACCUUAGAUGUCACGGACAACAAACGGACCCAGCAUCAAGGAGACAGUUUUUGCUCCAUUCAGCUGAUGGUUCUAUUAUGAGGAUGCCAGUCCAAUAUUGACAUUUUCUCGG
This is a long non-coding RNA of Mirounga angustirostris (Northern elephant seal), 758 nucleotides long. RefSeq lists it as uncharacterized. NCBI's taxonomy places the organism in Eukaryota, Metazoa, Chordata, Mammalia, Carnivora, Phocidae. The record is from RefSeq and is a predicted model, not a curated record. The transcript is spliced from 2 exons.